AUGAUAGCAUGCUUAUUGUAGUUAUGUCAUAACUCGUUAUUUUAUAAUUGUUUAAAUAUAUCAAUUGAUAAUAUUUGCUCUCGACUUUAUUUUGACGUUACAUUCUUGGACACACCAUUAAUUUAAUAGGUUGAAUGCUUUUUUCCGAAAAUCUUUUACCAUUUAAAAAUCAAUGUUAUCAUGUCAGAAAUAUCUAUGGCGUUGAGAAUAGGCUAUACCAAUUACUAUGGAAAUGUCUUUUCAAUUGGACCCAAGACUGAAGACCUUACAAUUUUAUAUCAAGGUGUAAAUUACAAAUAUAAAGCAUUAAUUUAAUAGGUUGAAUGCUUUUUUCCGAAAAUCUUUUACCAUUUAAAAAUCAAUGUUAUCAUGUCAGAAAUAUCUAUGGCGUUGAGAAUAGGCUAUACCAAUUACUAUGGAAAUGUCUUUUCAAUUGGACCCAAGACUGAAGACCUUACAAUUUUAUAUCAAGGUGUAAAUUACAAAUAUAAAGCAUUAAUUUAAUAGGUUGAAUGCUUUUUUACUGAAAAUAUUUCAUCUUUUAAAAACCAAUGUUAUCAUGUAAAAUUGGUUUUGAGUAUGACAUAUCAAUUGCUAUGGAUAUGUCUUUCCAAUCGGACCCAAGACCUUACAAUUAUAUAUCAAGGUGUAAAUUAUAAGUAUAAAACAUUUAUUUCUAAUGUGACAUUUUUUCAUGUGAAUGUAUAAUAUCAACACUAAGCAAUUUGAAAGAAAAGUGUGUUGUGUUAACUUAAAAUAAUUAUUAAUGCAUGUAUUUGUGUAUGUGGGUUGAUAAUACUCAUAUACCCGUUUCAUUUAUUUUUAAAAAUAUCAGUAAUUAAUGUAUGAAUUUCAUACUACUACA
Molecule: long non-coding RNA, 865 nt
Organism: Adelges cooleyi (spruce gall adelgid)
Lineage: Eukaryota; Metazoa; Arthropoda; Insecta; Hemiptera; Adelgidae
Exons: 4
Source: RefSeq, a predicted model, not a curated record